This 47-nucleotide transfer RNA is filed under the name Tetranychus ludeni (bean spider mite). RNAcentral describes it as "tRNA-Val". The record is from RNAcentral. Lineage: Eukaryota; Metazoa; Arthropoda; Arachnida; Trombidiformes; Tetranychidae.
CUCUAAUUUUAUAAAUAUAAAAUUUACAGUUUUAUCUUUAUUAGAAA